RNAcentral lists this long non-coding RNA (231 nucleotides) under Elaeis guineensis (African oil palm). RNAcentral describes it as "long non-coding RNA (EGUI_LNC029394)". The record is from RNAcentral. Lineage: Eukaryota; Viridiplantae; Streptophyta; Magnoliopsida; Arecales; Arecaceae.
ACAUCAAGGAAAAAGGAGAUAGGCUGCAGUUCAAAUGUUGACAUCGUGGUCAAAGAUCAAUAUUUGAUCAAAGAUUCAAAAGAUUGAGAUUCAUCUUAGAGAAGAUGGAUCAAAAAUAAGAAAAAAGGUUCAAGACUGAUCCUGGUAGAUAGCUGUAGAGGUCGGACGCAUGUGCGGUUCAAGAACUUUCAGAUCUACCAUCAUCGGUUGCAGUGUAUUUCAACCCACGCA